Molecule: ribosomal RNA, 253 nt
Filed under: uncultured bacterium
Lineage: Bacteria
Description: partial 16S ribosomal RNA
Rfam family: Bacterial small subunit ribosomal RNA
Source: RNAcentral
UACAGGGGGGGCAAGCGUUGUUCGGAAUUACUGGGCGUAAAGCGCACGUAGGCGGAUUUGUAAGUCAGGGGUGAAAUCCCGGAGCUCAACUCCGGAACUGCCUUUGAAACUGCAGUGCUAGAAUCCUGGAGAGGCGAGUGGAAUUCCGAGUGUAGAGGUGAAAUUCGUAGAUAUUCGGAAGAACACCAGUGGCGAAGGCGACUCGCUGGACAGGUAUUGACGCUGAGGUGCGAAAGCGUGGGGAGCAAACAGG